This 794-nucleotide ribosomal RNA is filed under the name Plectus opisthocirculus. RNAcentral's name for it is "SSU rRNA". It matches the Rfam family "Eukaryotic small subunit ribosomal RNA", at positions 508 to 1309 of the family's 1831-position model. The record is from RNAcentral. Lineage: Eukaryota; Metazoa; Nematoda; Chromadorea; Plectida; Plectidae.
AUCGGAAUGGGUACAAUUUAAACCCUUUAACGAGGACCUAUGAGAGGGCAAGUCUGGUGCCAGCAGCCGCGGUAAUUCCAGCUCUCAAGGUGUAUAUCGCCAUUGCUGCGGUUAAAAAGCUCGUAGUUGGAUCUGCGCCUUCGGACUCGGUCCGCCCAACGGGUGUGAACUGGGAUCCAAGGCUUAUACUGCUGGUUUUCCCUUGAUGCUCUUUACUGGGUGUCUUGGGUGGCUAGCGAGUUUACUUUGAAAAAAUUAGAGUGCUUAACACAGGCUAACGCCUGAAUACUUGUGCAUGGAAUAAUAGAAUAAGACCACGGUUCUAUUUUAUUGGUUUUCGGAACUGUGAUAAUGGUUAAGAGGGACAGACGGGGGCAUUCGUAUCGCUGCGUGAGAGGUGAAAUUCUUGGACCGCAGCGAGACGCCCUACUGCGAAAGCAUUUGCCAAGAAUGUCUUCGUUAAUCAAGAACGAAAGUCAGAGGUUCGAAGGCGAUCAGAUACCGCCCUAGUUCUGACCGUAAACGAUGCCAACUAGCGAUCCGCCGGUGGUAAUUACGCCCCGGCGGGGAGCUUCCCGGAAACGAAAGUCUUCCGGUUCCGGGGGAAGUAUGGUUGCAAAGCUGAAACUUAAAGGAAUUGACGGAAGGGCACCACCAGGAGUGGAGCCUGCGGCUUAAUUUGACUCAACACGGGAAAACUCACCCGGCCCGGACACCGUAAGGAUUGACAGAUUGAGAGCUCUUUCUUGAUUCGGUGGUUGGUGGUGCAUGGCCGUUCUUAGUUGGUGGAGCGA